Molecule: long non-coding RNA, 415 nt
Organism: Centruroides sculpturatus (bark scorpion)
Lineage: Eukaryota; Metazoa; Arthropoda; Arachnida; Scorpiones; Buthidae
Exons: 3
Source: RefSeq, a predicted model, not a curated record
ACUAUAAUCAAACAAUAUUUAUUGGAAGUCCUCCUUCGUUCGAUUCUCAAACUCCCAAAACUGUCACUUGUUACAUAGGAGAUACGGCAAAAUUGCACUGUAUUGUCAAUAAUUUGAAAUAUCACAUGGUGAUUUGGAAAAGAAGAAAGGAUCAUUCUUUGUUAACCGUUGUAAAUAAUAAAGUGAUCUCAGAUGAACGAUUCGGAAUUACAAAUAUUGACAACGAUUGGAUUUUAGAGAUAAAAAACGUAAAUUUGAAUGACAGUGGCUAUUACGACUGUCAAAUCCCUUCUAAUUCCACAACAAUAUAUCCAGUUAAAUUAAUUAUUUUGGAUUAAUUUUUUACAGAAACAUCUCUGCAUGAGAUUUCUUCUUGAUAGACCUAACAAUAUUAUUAUAUAGUCCAAAUAUCGAA